CUGAAGAUACCCGGCGCUUGACAACAGCUAGUCAGCAGUAAAAGGCUGUCACCAUGGAAGAAACCCCAAGCACCAGUUCAAUCAGAUUAUACGAACUCUUGGGAAGCCAAUCAUUUCUGCAGACUCACCUGGAAAUGUAACUGAAAGCAAUGUGGUGAUUCAUGGUCCCGUAACCUGAAGGAUAUGACAAACUGACAAGAUUCAUCAAACAAUGCAAAAAAAAAAAAAAAAAAGAACUGACAGAGGAAAAUAAAA
Myotis daubentonii (Daubenton's bat) is the source of this 255-nucleotide long non-coding RNA. RefSeq lists it as uncharacterized. The record is from RefSeq and is a predicted model, not a curated record. NCBI's taxonomy places the organism in Eukaryota, Metazoa, Chordata, Mammalia, Chiroptera, Vespertilionidae.